AACGAACGUUAGCGGCGCGCUUAACACAUGCAAGUCGCACGAGAAAGGGCUUCGGCCCCGGUACAGUGGCGCACGGGUGAGUAACACGUGGAUAAUCUUCCCUUUGGCGGGGGAUAACCUUCCGAAAGGAGGGCUAAUACCGCAUAAGACCACGAUCUCGAAAGAGGUUGAGGUUAAAGCAGGCCUCUAUUCAUAAGCUUGCUCCAGAGGAUGAGUCCGCGGCCCAUCAGCUAGUUGGCAGGGUAAAGACCUACCAAGGCUAAGACGGGUAGCUGGUCUGAGAGGAUGAUCAGCCACACUGGAACUGAGACACGGUCCAGACUCCUACGGGAGGCAGCAGUGGGGAAUCUUGCGCAAUGGGCGAAAGCCUGACGCAGCGACGCCGCGUGAGUGAUGAAGGCC
Molecule: ribosomal RNA, 402 nt
Filed under: uncultured bacterium
Lineage: Bacteria
Description: bacterial SSU rRNA
Rfam family: Bacterial small subunit ribosomal RNA
Source: RNAcentral